RNAcentral lists this ribosomal RNA (254 nucleotides) under uncultured organism. Its description in RNAcentral is "partial 16S ribosomal RNA". It matches the Rfam family "Bacterial small subunit ribosomal RNA", at positions 524 to 776 of the family's 1533-position model. The record is from RNAcentral.
UACGGGUGGCGCAAGUGUUACUCUUCAUCAUUGGGCGUAAAGGGUGCGUAGGCGGUGUAAUAAGUUUAAAGUAAAAUCAGAACAUAUAAGUAUUCUGUGAUUUUUUAUACUAUUGUACUAGAGUAUACUUAAGAUAGUGGAACUUUUAAUAAAGAAUUUAAAUGCGUGGGCAUAUUGAAAGGAACACCAAAAGCGAAGGCAACUAUCUCAAAAAUACUGACGCUGAGGACACGAAAGCAUAGGUAUCAAACAGG